AAAUAAUUGCUCAAACCAAAACUAAUAAGAUUAAGAUGUAAAACCCAUAAUGUAUCAAAACAUGAAAAAUAUCCAACAAAAUUAUUAAUAGGAUUCAUUUGACAACAAAAACAUACGAAAGAACAACAAGAAACAAACUACGAUCGAUUAUCCAAGCUCACUACUUAGAUCUCUGUCUCAUCUUUCGGCGCUUCCUCUUCAAUCUCCUCAUACGCUUCUUCUUCCACUGCAAAAACAAACAAAUACAGUUCAAAUCAGAUACAGAAAUUAAGAUAAAAUCAGAAUAAGUGAUUGUAAUUCAUGUGUAAGAUGAGUAAAGUGGUGAAAUAGUUUACCUUGGCUCUCAUCUUGAACGGUGUUUUGCUUUGUCGUAAACCUAGUUGAU
RNAcentral lists this long non-coding RNA (385 nucleotides) under Medicago truncatula (barrel medic). RNAcentral's name for it is "lncRNA gene32660". Lineage: Eukaryota; Viridiplantae; Streptophyta; Magnoliopsida; Fabales; Fabaceae. The record is from RNAcentral.